CCUACGGGAGGCAGCAGUUUCGAAUCGUUCACAAUGGGGGCAACCCUGAUGGCGCGACGCCGCGUGGGGGAUGAAGGUCUUCGGAUUGUAAACUCCUGUCAUUGGGGACUAAUGGCCAGGCUCAUACCCUGGUUUGAAUUAACCCAAAGAGGAAGCAGUGGCUAACUCUGUGCCAGCAGCCGCGGUAAUACAGAGACUGCAAGCGUUACUCGGAUUCACUGGGCGUAAAGGGAGCGCAGGCGGACUCAUGUGUCGGACGUGAAAUACCGGGGCUUAACCCCGGUGCUGCGUCCGAAACUAUGAGUCUAGAGACUUGGAGGGGUAAGCGGAAUUCUUGGUGGAGCAGUGAAAUGCGUAGAUAUCAAGAGGAACACCAACGGCGAAGGCAGCUUACUGGACAAGAUCUGACGCUCAGGCUCGAAAGCGUGGGGAGCAAAAGGGAUUAGAUACCCCUGUAGUCCACGCUGUAAACGGUGCGCAUUAGGUCUUGGAGCUUUCGAACGCUCCAGGGCUCAAGCUAACGCGAUAAUGCGCCGCCUGNGACGACGCCGCGAGACGAACGUACAANAGAGUAGACGGCGUGAGACGNGCCGACGGACGACGACGAGGGAGGAGG
This 616-nucleotide ribosomal RNA is filed under the name uncultured bacterium. RNAcentral's name for it is "bacterial SSU rRNA". The stretch from base 1 to 538 matches the Rfam family "Bacterial small subunit ribosomal RNA", at positions 338 to 873 of the family's 1533-position model. The record is from RNAcentral.